UCUCCGUAGGUGAACCUGCGGAGGGAUCAGUACAGAGUUCAUGCCCUAACGGGUAGAUCUCCCACCCUAUGUUAUCAUCACUUUGUUGCUUUGGCGGGCCGUCAGGCCUCGGCUUGGCUACCGGCUCUCGCUGGUAAGCGCCCGCCAGAGAACCCCAAACCCUGAAUAUCAGUGUCGUCUGAGUACUAUAUAAUAGUUAAAACUUUCAACAACGGAUCUCUUGGUUCUG
This 229-nucleotide unclassified non-coding RNA is filed under the name plant metagenome. RNAcentral's name for it is "partial contains small subunit ribosomal RNA, internal transcribed spacer 1, and 5.8S ribosomal RNA". The record is from RNAcentral.